RNAcentral lists this long non-coding RNA (398 nucleotides) under Gallus gallus (chicken). The record is from RNAcentral. Lineage: Eukaryota; Metazoa; Chordata; Aves; Galliformes; Phasianidae.
ACACUUGCACCUUCAACUAGUUGUUUAAGAAACUAUAAUUCUGUGGAAAAAAGUUAAGCAUGCAGCUACAAAGCCAAUUACUAAUUCCUUCCCCUUUCUCAAAUGUCACUUAUAUCAGCACCUACAGAUACAUACCAACAGUUUUCUGCCGUACUAUGCUUCUUGCCUUUUCAGUUCCUGGAGAUCCAGUGGUUGUAGCACUCCGUUGUCUCAUUGGCGCCUGUCCAGGCUGAUCACGGCUCCAGCCUCUAGAAAAGGACUUAUCCACAGAAGACUUGGGGAAUUCAUGCCCAACUCCUUUGCCUUUGUGUUUUUUCUGCUUCUGCUCGCUUAACUUAUCCAAUGGCAGGUCACUGAGGUCCAGACUAUACAAGUUUCUAGCUAACACUUUAGUUAGG